CAUGUAGGCGGCCUAUCAAGCGUUGUGUGAAAUCCCUCGGCUCAACCGAGGAACUGCAUGGCGAACUGAUAGGCUUGAGGCAAGUAGGGGCGAGUGGAACUCUUGGUGGAGCGGUGGAAUGCGUAGAUAUCAAGAGGAACGUCGGAGGCGAAGGCGACUCGCUGGGCUUGACCUGACGCUGAGAUGCGAAAGCUAGGGUAGCGAACAGGAUUAGAUACCCUGGUAGUCC
Molecule: ribosomal RNA, 229 nt
Filed under: uncultured bacterium
Lineage: Bacteria
Description: partial 16S ribosomal RNA
Rfam family: Bacterial small subunit ribosomal RNA
Source: RNAcentral